UCCCUAGUGGUCCAGUGGUUAGGACUUGGCGCUUUCACUGCUGUGGCCCGGGUUCAGUCCCUGGUUGGGGAA
Transfer RNA from Ovis aries (sheep), 72 nucleotides. It matches the Rfam family "tRNA". From Rfam's summary of the family: Transfer RNA (tRNA) molecules are approximately 80 nucleotides in length. NCBI's taxonomy places the organism in Eukaryota, Metazoa, Chordata, Mammalia, Artiodactyla, Bovidae. The record is from Rfam.